This 426-nucleotide ribosomal RNA is filed under the name uncultured bacterium. RNAcentral's name for it is "bacterial SSU rRNA". It matches the Rfam family "Bacterial small subunit ribosomal RNA", at positions 354 to 796 of the family's 1533-position model. The record is from RNAcentral.
GUGGGGAAUCUUGCGCAAUGGGCGAAAGCCUGACGCAGCAACGCCGCGUGGGGGACGAAGGCUCUCGGGUUGUAAACCCCUUUCAGGAGGGACGAAAUUGACGGUACCUCCAGAAGAAGCCCCGGCCAACUACGUGCCAGCAGCCGCGGUAACACGUAGGGGGCAAGCGUUGUCCGGAUUUAUUGGGCGUAAAGAGCUCGUAGGUGGCUCGGUAAGUCGGGUGUGAAAUUUCGAGGCUCAACCUCGAAACGCCACCUGAUACUGCUGUGGCUAGAGUCCGGUAGGGGAGCGUGGAAUUCCUGGUGUAGCGGUGAAAUGCGCAGAUAUCAGGAGGAACACCAGCGGCGAAGGCGGCGCUCUGGGCCGGUACUGACACUGAGGAGCGAAAGCGUGGGGAUCAAACAGGAUUAGAAACCCUGGUAGUCC